This 411-nucleotide ribosomal RNA is filed under the name Beloneuria stewarti. RNAcentral describes it as "partial 12S ribosomal RNA". The stretch from base 55 to 411 matches the Rfam family "Microsporidia small subunit ribosomal RNA", at positions 752 to 1207 of the family's 1311-position model. Lineage: Eukaryota; Metazoa; Arthropoda; Insecta; Plecoptera; Perlidae. The record is from RNAcentral.
UAAACUACGAUUAGAUACCCUAUUAUUUUGAAUGUAAAUAGAUAAUUAAUGCUUGAGUAGUAGUAGAUAUGUUCUUGAAACUCAAAGGAUUUGGCGGUAUUUUAAGUCUUUUUAGAGGAACCUGUCCCGUAAUCGAUAGUCCACGUGUAAUUCGACUUAGCUUUGUUAAUCAGUUUGUAUACCGCCGUCGUCAGAGUAUCUUUUUAGGGUGAGAAUUUUCUGGGCCUUAAAGUGGAGGGGAUGUCAGGUCAAGGUGCAGUUUAUAGUUAAGGGGAGAUGGGUUACAAUAGGUGUAUUUAAACGGAUUUUAAUCUGUGAAGGUUAUUUAAAGGUGGAUUUAAUUGUAAUGAUUGGUUAGUAAGCUAACUUGAUAAUGGCUCUAAAGUAUGCACACAUCGCCCGUCGCUCUUA